Grus americana (Whooping crane) is the source of this 1235-nucleotide non-coding RNA. NCBI's taxonomy places the organism in Eukaryota, Metazoa, Chordata, Aves, Gruiformes, Gruidae. The record is from the annotation of a RefSeq genome assembly.
CUGGUCCCUAUGGGUAAGUGAACUCAACUCACCCCUGAGCACCUACAUCGAUUCCACCACUGCUGUCCCAGCUGCGUACCCAGCUGCUGGCAGUGCUUGAUUCCCCAAAGCUUCCUGCACUGAGGAUGGGCGAUGAAUAAGCAUUGGUUCUGGAACAGUCCCCAGACACGGUGAUACGACAAGACCAGUCCGUGAAUCUGAGCUGUUCCAAGAAGAAAUCCUCCAGCACAGCUAUGUACUGGUACAAGCUGCCUUUGGGGAAGGACUCCAGGCUGGUCCUUGUGUCUUCUGCAUUCCAAGGUGGUAAUGCAAAUGUUGAGAAGGAUUUCCAAAGCCAUUUCAAGAGCAGUGAGAUACAAGGAGAUGGGAUGACGCUCUUGAUAGACCGUGCCUUUCUCAACGACUCUGGCAUGUAUUACUGUGCUGAAAGUGAAACACAUGUGAAUAAUGAAAAACUGAACUUUGGCAGUGGGACAAAACUCACAGUCCUAGGGAAGAACGAUGAAAUCAUACCUCCAGCUGUGGCCAUCUUUUCCCCAUCAAAGCAAGAGAUCCAACAGAAGAGCAAGGCCACACUGGUAUGCCUGGCCUCUGGUUUCUAUCCUGACCACCUGAAUCUGGUCUGGAAGGUGAAUGGUGCUAAGAGGACAAAAGGGGUGGGAACAGAUGAGUUUUCUACACAGAAUCGGAGUACCUACUCAUUGACCAGCCGACUGAGGAUCUCAGCCCAGGAAUGGUUCAACCCUUUGAACCGUUUUGAGUGUGUUGCCGAAUUUUUUCAGAAUGAAACACUGAAAUCAAUACCGAAAUUCAUCUACGGUGAUGCUGGUUGUGCACUCACGGAAGAGUCCUACUUGCGGUAUGGAAAUUCUCUGAAGCUCACUUACCUCCUUCUCUGUGGCAAAGCCUUGAUCUAUGCAGUUUUGGUGAGCAGUCUGGUGUGGACAGCCAAGACUGGUGGCAAGUUGUAUAGAGAAUAAAUGAAGAGUCGUCUUCAUCACAUCAGCAGGAACACAGCAAAUUAUUUCUUUGCUUCUGUCUAAGAACUUCUGAAUAUUAUUUCUUGGUGGUUCUCUGACCCCCCUCCUGUUCUUCCACUGCUGGGUUUUCCCUGUACUUCCAUAUCAUAUUGUAUCAUAUAGUAUCAUAUCUUUAAAACUAACACCUUAAUGCUCAAAGGCUGAGGACCCAGCUCAUUGAGUUAGGAAUAAAGUUUUAGCUUCUUUUCCAUUCAA